RNAcentral lists this ribosomal RNA (728 nucleotides) under uncultured methanogenic archaeon. Its description in RNAcentral is "bacterial SSU rRNA". It matches the Rfam family "Archaeal small subunit ribosomal RNA", at positions 88 to 834 of the family's 1478-position model. Lineage: Archaea; Methanobacteriati; Methanobacteriota. The record is from RNAcentral.
GCUCAGUAACACGUGGACAACGUGCCCUAAAGCGGAGCAUAAUCUCGGGAAACUGAGGAUAAUUCUCCAUAGACCAUGAGAUCUGGAAUGACUUAUGGUUCAAAGUUCCGGCGCUUUAGGAUCGGUCUGCGGCCUAUCAGGUAGUAGUGGGUGUAACGUACCCCCUAGCCAGUUACGGGUAUGGGCCUUGAGAGAGGGAGCCCAGAGUUGGAUUCUGAGACACGAAUCCAGGCCCUACGGGGCGCAGCAGUCGCGAAAACUUCACAAUGGGCGAAAGCCCGAUGAGGGAAUUCCUAGUGCUAGCACAUUUGUGUUAGCUUUUCCUUAGCGUAGAUAACUAGGGGAAUAAGGGCUGGGUAAGACGGGUGCCAGCCGCCGCGGUAAUACCCGCAGCCCGAGUGGUGGUCGAUUUUAUUGAGUCUAAAACGUUCGUAGCCGGUCUGAUAAAUCCCUGGGUAAAUCGGGUGGCUUAACCAUCCGAAUUCCGGGGAGACUGUCAGGCUUGGGAUCGGGAGAGGUAUGAGGUACUUCAGGGGUAGGGGUAAAAUCCUGUAAUCCUUGGAGGACCACCGGUGGCGAAGGCGUCUUGCUAAACGGAUCCGACGUGAGGGACGAACCCUGGGUCCAAACGGGAUUAAUACCCGGUAUCCGGGUGUAACGCUGCAAAUUGGUGUUGGGGACCUUCGGGGGUGUUCAUGCCGGAAAGAUUGUAAUCUGCUACUGGGGAA